This 490-nucleotide ribosomal RNA is filed under the name uncultured bacterium. Its description in RNAcentral is "partial 16S ribosomal RNA". It matches the Rfam family "Bacterial small subunit ribosomal RNA", at positions 30 to 507 of the family's 1533-position model. The record is from RNAcentral.
AUUGAACGCUGGCGGCAGGCCUAACACAUGCAAGUCGAACGGUAACAGGAAACAGCUUGCUGUUUCGCUGACGAGUGGCGGACGGGUGAGUAAUGUCUGGGAAACUGCCUGAUGGAGGGGGAUAACUACUGGAAACGGUAGCUAAUACCGCAUAACGUCGCAAGACCAAAGAGGGGGACCCUCGGGCCUCUUGCCAUCGGAUGUGCCCAGAUGGGUUUAGCUUGUUGGUGGGGUAACGGCUCACCAAGGCGACGAUCCCUAGCUGGUCUGAGAGGAUGACCAGCCACACUGGAACGGGAACACGGUCCAGACUCCUACGGGAGGCAGCAGUGGGGAAUAUUGCACAAUGGGCGCAAGCCUGAUGCAGCCAUGCCGCGUGUAUGAAGAAGGCCUUCGGGUUGUAAAGUACUUUCAGCGGGGAGGAAGGGAGUAAAGUUAAUACCUUUACUCAUUGACGUUACCCGCAGAAGAAGCACCGGCUAACUCCGUG